Molecule: ribosomal RNA, 436 nt
Filed under: uncultured Lachnospiraceae bacterium
Lineage: Bacteria; Bacillati; Bacillota; Clostridia; Lachnospirales; Lachnospiraceae
Description: partial 16S ribosomal RNA
Rfam family: Bacterial small subunit ribosomal RNA
Source: RNAcentral
ACGGAAGGCAGCAGUGGGGGAUAUUGCACAAUGGGGGAAACCCUGAUGCAGCGACGCCGCGUGAGUGAAGAAGUAUUUCGGUAUGUAAAGCUCUAUCAGCAGGGAAGAAUAGAUGACGGUACCUGACUAAGAAGCCCCGGCUAACUACGUGCCAGCAGCCGCGGUAAUACGUAGGGGGCAAGCGUUAUCCGGAUUUACUGGGUGUAAAGGGAGCGCAGACGGUCUUGCAAGUCAGAAGUGAAAUCCCCGGGCCCAACCCGGGAACUGCUUUUGAAACUGUAGGACUUGAGUGUCGGAGAGGUAAGCGGAAUUCCUAGUGUAGCGGUGAAAUGCGUAGAUAUUAGGAGGAACACCAGUGGCGAAGGCGGCUUACUGGACGAUAACUGACGUUGAGGCUCGAAAGCGUGGGGAGCAAACAGGAUUAGAUACCCUGGUA